UCCGGGGCCGCUGCAGAGUUUGUUCCUGGUUCAGGUUGUUCGUUAGCGUGCGGGCCUAUAUAUCAUGCUAAGUGUCGGACGGUGGGGCAACCCAUAGUGGCGGUCGGGUGCGUAUACUGCGUACGUAUGACCUACCCUUGAGGUGGGGGUUAGCAUUUCGAAAGGUGUGGUAAUCCCGCAUGUUACAUCUUUCGUCGCAUGAGAGAGAUGUUAAAGCAGCAAUGCGCCAAAGGUUGGGUGUGCGUCUGAUUAGCUAGUUGGUAAGGUAACGGCUUACCAAGGCGACGUUCAGUAACUGGUCUGAGAGGUUGUUCAGUCACACUGGCACUGAGACACGGGCCAGACUCCUACGGGAGGCAGCAGUAGGGAAUAUUGGGCAAUGGGCGAUAGCUGACCCAGCCACGCCGCGUGAAGGAAGCUAGGUCCACAGGAUUGUAAACUUCUUUUCUCCGAGAAUAAAGCGCUAAAGGUUAGGGCUUGAAUGGUAUCGGAGGAAUAAGCGCCGGCUAACUACGUGCCAGCAGCCGCGGUAAAUACGUAGGGCGCAACGUUUGUCCGGAUUUUACUGGGUUUAAUGGGUGCGUAGGCGGC
RNAcentral lists this ribosomal RNA (591 nucleotides) under uncultured Pseudomonadota bacterium. RNAcentral describes it as "bacterial SSU rRNA". It matches the Rfam family "Bacterial small subunit ribosomal RNA", at positions 1 to 579 of the family's 1533-position model. The record is from RNAcentral. Lineage: Bacteria; Pseudomonadati; Pseudomonadota.